AUUGAACGCUGGCGGCAUGCCUUACACAUGCAAGUCGAACGGUAACAGGUCUUCGGAUGCUGACGAGUGGCGAACGGGUGAGUAAUACAUCGGAACGUGCCCGAGAGUGGGGGAUAACGGAGCGGAAGCUUUGCUAAUACCGCAUACGAUCUACGGAUGAAAGCAGGGGACCGCAAGGCCUUGCGCUCAUGGAGCGGCCGAUGGCAGAUUAGGUAGUUGGUGGGAUAAAAGCUUACCAAGCCGACGAUCUGUAGCUGGUCUGAGAGGACGACCAGCCACACUGGGACUGAGACACGGCCCAG
RNAcentral lists this ribosomal RNA (302 nucleotides) under uncultured bacterium. RNAcentral describes it as "bacterial SSU rRNA". It matches the Rfam family "Bacterial small subunit ribosomal RNA", at positions 30 to 334 of the family's 1533-position model. The record is from RNAcentral.